This 496-nucleotide ribosomal RNA is filed under the name uncultured bacterium. Its description in RNAcentral is "partial 16S ribosomal RNA". It matches the Rfam family "Bacterial small subunit ribosomal RNA", at positions 29 to 507 of the family's 1533-position model. The record is from RNAcentral.
AUGAACGCCGGCGGCGUGCCUAAUACCUGCAAGUCGAGCGAACAGAUGAGGAGCUUGCUCCUCUGACGUUAGCGGCGGACGGGUGAGUAACACGUGGAUAACCUACCUAUAAGACUGGGAUAACUUCGGGAAACCGGAGCUAAUACCGGAUAAUAUAUUGAACCGCAUGGUUCAAUAGUGAAAGACGGUUUUGCUGUCACUUAUAGAUGGAUCCGCGCCGCAUUAGCUAGUUGGUAAGGUAACGGCUUACCAAGGCAACGAUGCGUAGCCGACCUGAGAGGGUGAUCGGCCACACUGGAACUGAGACACGGUCCAGACUCCUACGGGAGGCAGCAGUAGGGAAUCUUCCGCAAUGGGCGAAAGCCUGACGGAGCAACGCCGCGUGAGUGAUGAAGGUCUUCGGAUCGUAAAACUCUGUUAUUAGGGAAGAACAAAUGUGUAAGUAACUAUGCACGUCUUGACGGUACCUAAUCAGAAAGCCACGGCUAACUACGUG